GAUGCAGGGAACCGCCACGUUGUACGGCAAGCAACUUGCCGCCCCAAUUUGGGCGGGGAUGCAAACUGGCUGUCUCUAUCAAGGCCACGCAGAAAUCUAUUGGGAAUCGCUGUAGAAACAAACGCAAAUGACAAGCCGCAAAGGGCAGAGGCUGCUCAUCGGCCCAUCUCCUCUCAUGACUGCUGCUCUGGGGACCACCUCUCUGCUCUCCACUGCUACCACUCUAGCCUGUGGCCUGCUCCUGGUUAAAGAAGCCAUCAAUCAAAAUGAAUACCACUCUGGAAAUCUUGGGUGGCCUGACCUGAUAUUUUCGCAUAGUGGCCACAGAUAUUUUAGGCCCCCAAGAGGUAGUCUUACUCUUUCAAUUUUACUGGCUCCACUGUUUGAGGAACUUGGAACAAUUUCCCCAGGGACUGGUCUGGAGGUACUGUUGAAUAACACCACAUUGUUUUUCUUCCUCCCCACUAAGGGCCUGUUGAUGUCUCAAGACCAGGCAUAAACCUUUUGGUGUUUAACUCACUCAGAGUAAGAGCCCUGCUUUCCCUCAGCACUCUUGCCCUUCGAGGGUGGGGUCACAUGUUUUCUUCCUUUAUUACUGGGGACAUUUGAUCCUGGUUUUCGUUAUUUGUCAUUCCCAGGGGAAUUUAGUACCCUGUGUCUUGGUAAAUUGUAAGACCACUGUGGAUUUUGGAGUUGAGACUCAUUUCCCUAUCCCUCCCUUCAAGAGAACAAAGAAAGAGAGAGAACACCCAAACCCUUCAUCG
This is an RNA transcript of Mandrillus leucophaeus (drill), 764 nucleotides long. RefSeq lists it as uncharacterized. Lineage: Eukaryota; Metazoa; Chordata; Mammalia; Primates; Cercopithecidae. The record is from RefSeq and is a predicted model, not a curated record. The transcript is spliced from 2 exons.